CUCUUCCCCAGUCUUUUUGGAUCUCUCCUCUUUCAGUCGGUGUUUAGGUGCCGAUUUAUCUAGCUCCAUCUUUGCUGCUGCAGCUCGAGUCCCAGAAAGUCCCUGUGAUGCAACUUUGGCGAAACUUCCACCAGGGUCCCAACUGGUAGACAGUGCGCACAUGCAUGGUUACACACUUUAACUGGAAUCACCAAUUACCUUCCCAGGUCCUCGGCAAAUCUCUAUCAGAGACUGCUGACGGACCCAUGACUCAUCCACCCUAGAAGACAAAUUCUAAUGACGUUCUGCUGUUCAGUCAAGAAGGACACAGAAUUCCAAAAUCGAUGCUAAGGGACAAAAUUCAACUUAAUAGAGUGCAGUCUGGUUAAAAACCUGAAAAAU
Molecule: long non-coding RNA, 381 nt
Organism: Hyaena hyaena (striped hyena)
Lineage: Eukaryota; Metazoa; Chordata; Mammalia; Carnivora; Hyaenidae
Exons: 5
Source: RefSeq, a predicted model, not a curated record